Chinchilla lanigera (long-tailed chinchilla) is the source of this 1795-nucleotide long non-coding RNA. RefSeq lists it as uncharacterized. The record is from RefSeq and is a predicted model, not a curated record. The transcript is spliced from 2 exons. NCBI's taxonomy places the organism in Eukaryota, Metazoa, Chordata, Mammalia, Rodentia, Chinchillidae.
CGGCUCCUAUGAACAGCGAUAAGGGGAGUCCGGCCAAUGGACGGCAGGUGCCUGCGCUCUGAAGCGGCUCUGACGCUUUACCUGCCAAGGCCCUGUGCUGCUGAGCUAAAUCCCCAGCCCCCGAGAUUUACUUCUUACAGUUGUGGAACCUGGGAAGGCUGAGGGCACUCUGCACAGGAGCAUCAUCCCCUGGUAGAAGGGGACAGAGCAAGAAAGCACACAUGGGAACAGCAGAGGGACAAGCUCGUGUUCCUGACAGACCCACCCCGGCAGUGACAAAAAUGGCAUUAACCCAUUCAUGAGGACAGGGCCCUCGUGACCUAAUCACCUCGUCACAGGAACGCUGGAGGAUACAUUCAAAGUGGAGCCCUUGCAACGUGAUGAAAACUGCUCAGGGAGCUGGGGACACGGCGAAUUGUGCUACCGUCACUGAGCGGGAGAAGCCGGUGUGAGGGCUGCCUGCCCCGGCCUCCGAGUGGAGCAGGCCUCUGGGUCCCACACUCGUCACAGCAUCAGCCGUGCUCACGGUAGCUGCUCAAGUACUAAAGGCACAGCCAGGAUAUUCAGAGCCAAGGUGAACACAGAACACGGGCUGAUGGCCCUGGGGCUGAGCAACGGACCCAAGAUCAGUGAAAGGAAGAUAACCCAACCUCCAUGUCCGCCUGGAUGAUGGUUUUUAGACAGCAUUAAAUCCCCAUCUUCCACACUGCUAGCGUCAGCCACUCCUUCAGGCUUGCCCUGUAGCUGACGCUGAACAAAACCGGAAAUGGAAAUCUUGCACGGCCCCCAACAUAGUCAGGGGCAGCCUGGGGUGGGGGAGCAGCUGGACCAACACAUGGAGCCGUCUCCACCGGUUUGGGGACAGAGCGCUUCCUGAUCUCAACACCAGGGCGUAAAGCAUCUGGCCUCGCCCCUCCCCCUGCGCCCCGGACUGCACAACUGUCAAGUCCGGCUGUCUCGUUUUGUGGGCCACGGGUCCAAGGCUAUUCGGGAAAUUGCUGUUGAAAGUAGAGCCCCUGGGGGGAGAAGCAAGUUGGUGUUCAAAUUGAGGUUGAUUUGCUGUUUUCACCCAGGCACAGGUUUCCAGGAGAGUGACUGGGGGUGAGAAGGGCCUCCUAGAUCCCCAGGGCGCUCAGCAUGAGACCAAUGAGAAGCCCUGACUGUCACCUUUUCCUGUGUAGGCCAGAGGGGGCGGGGUGCGGUUAAUAGCUGUCACACCCCAGAAGGGACCAGGACAACUUCCCGCUGCCGCACCCAUGAGGUUGCUUUGUGGUCACCACCAGGCUGCUCCAACAGGAAGUGCAGUUUGGCCACCAGAUGCAGUGCCCCCUGCUCCAGCCACUGCUGCCAUCUCUUUGGAGAAGAACAGGAACCACCCUGCCACGGCUAAAAUCAAGGCGGGGGGAAUCUGGACCCACUGUUAACAUCCCCAAAUCCCAAUAGAUACGAUGGACACAGAUAAUCCUCCUGAAGAUUCCUGUUUCAGUUCCCCCAAUAUUCAAGGAGGUGUGACAGCUGGUAAUCAAUCAGCUUACCUGCUGCCAUGACAGCGGGGCUGCCCUGGAUGCCCCAUUCAUUUGAACCAACCAUGGCCUGCACUUGAACCAAUCAAAAGGCCCAAAUCUGAACCAAUCACAGACUUACACUUGAACCAGUCACAGGCCUGCAGCUGCUACACAGGCAGCCUCUCCUCACACUUCUUGGUUAGUCUCGGAGGGCUCUGUCCAGUGUGCUGAACCCCUGUACUCCUGCACAGGUCCUGUUAAAAUAAAAACUCACUCCAGUGGUCUUGUAA